RNAcentral lists this long non-coding RNA (704 nucleotides) under Homo sapiens (human). Its description in RNAcentral is "non-protein coding lnc-SYNGR1-4:1". The record is from RNAcentral. Lineage: Eukaryota; Metazoa; Chordata; Mammalia; Primates; Hominidae.
ACAAAGCAUAACUGCGAGCUGGGCUGGCCCUUGAGCUGCCAAUUGCCAGCCCAGGCAGCUCUUUUCCACGCACCACACCAGGAUUGUAGACAGGGACACCGAGGCACAGGUGGAAGGGCGACUCUGGUGGUCUCGCACGGCUGAGGCACAGCAGCCUGGGAUGAGCUGGCAGGCUGCAGCCGCCUAGUGAAGAGCCUUGAAUGCCUGUUGGUGCCUAAUAAAGGAGGAAUGGAAUGGGACUUCUUGUUCUGUCACCGCAGGAUUCCGGCGAGGCCUGUCUAGGGGUUCUGGUGAGAGAAAAGCGUGACAGGAAGCGCAUGCCAGCAGGCACUUGGAGAUGUACCCUUGGUGACAUGCACAGGCACGGCAGCCGCCCCACCCACCACAGGCCUCCGCUCGGGACAGCGGGGCACACGCACAAUACAGACGAGGCCCAGAGAUGCAGAGACCCCCAACAAACCUUCUCCAUGCUAGGGAGACAGGAGAUCCAGCUGGGAAUGAGCCCAUAUCAUGAAGCCCCUCCCUCAGGAGCUCAUACCGGAGCCCAGGAGCCUUGUCCCACCCCAGGGCCUUCGCACUCACCAUUCCCUGGCGGGAGUGAGUGUUCCAGCACAGGGCUCCACAGGCAGGACCCUUGAUACCUUUCAAAUCUCAGAGAGGCCUCCCCGACCCCACCCACAUGACUCCAUCCCAGUGACCUGUUU